UCAUCAGUCAAGUUCAACAUCUUCAUUGAAUGAUUCAUCUCCUGAAAUCGAUUGUAAAUCCGAAGUGUUUAAGGAUUCAUCUCGGAGCGUUUCGAAGAUUCAGGAAGCUUAUGAAAUUAAUCGGAUGGAAGAAGAUCUGUAUAACAGUACAGAAAAUUACAUUCUAACAGAAAUUCAAAAGAAAAUGAG
This is a non-coding RNA of Parasteatoda tepidariorum (common house spider), 189 nucleotides long. The record is from RefSeq and is a predicted model, not a curated record. NCBI's taxonomy places the organism in Eukaryota, Metazoa, Arthropoda, Arachnida, Araneae, Theridiidae.